Molecule: ribosomal RNA, 349 nt
Filed under: uncultured bacterium
Lineage: Bacteria
Description: bacterial SSU rRNA
Rfam family: Bacterial small subunit ribosomal RNA
Source: RNAcentral
AGUGAAUGCUUGCGACAUACAUAACACAUGCAAGUUGAACGAAUCUAUUUUGGUUUAGUAGCGUACGGGUGAGUAAUGCAGAAGAAUUUUGGUGUGAGUUUGGGAUAGUAAUUUUUGUUUGAAUACCAGAUAUUAUGAAAGAUUGAUCGCUUAUAUGGGAGCUUCUGUAAGAUUAGGUUGUUGGUGGGGUAAAUGCCUACCAAGCCAUAGAUCUUUAGCCGGUUGAGAGAAUGGUCGGCCACAUUGGGAAUGGAAAAGGCCCAGACUCCUUCGGGAGGCAGCAGUGGGGAAUAUUGGACAAUGGGCGAAAGCCUGAUCCAGUAAUGUCGUGUGAGUGAGGAAGGAAAAU